UGCAAGGUUGGACAAAAAGUUUGAAAUGGUAGGGUGGAUCUGCAAAAGAGAGUAGGACGGGCACCAAAGGUUGUCGGACUUUGUCCAGUGGAAGGUUUGACCAAGUCAAACCAAAUCUUGGAGAACGGUGGAAACUUGAGUUAUGAAAACAAGAGUAGCGCAGUGCCGGUAUACUUGGAGGUCCGUAUAGCUUAUAUAGAAUGAGGGU
RNAcentral lists this long non-coding RNA (208 nucleotides) under Elaeis guineensis (African oil palm). RNAcentral's name for it is "long non-coding RNA (EGUI_LNC028629)". The record is from RNAcentral. Lineage: Eukaryota; Viridiplantae; Streptophyta; Magnoliopsida; Arecales; Arecaceae.